This 623-nucleotide ribosomal RNA is filed under the name Chaetoceros curvisetus. RNAcentral's name for it is "partial Eukaryotic large subunit ribosomal RNA". It matches the Rfam family "Eukaryotic large subunit ribosomal RNA", at positions 1 to 677 of the family's 3401-position model. The record is from RNAcentral. Lineage: Eukaryota; Bacillariophyta; Thalassiosirophyceae; Chaetocerotales; Chaetocerotaceae.
UCAGCUUGGUAAGGAUACCCCCUGAAUUUAAGCAUAUAAUUAAGGGGAGGAAAAGAAACUAACAAGGAUUCCUUUAGUAACGGCGAGUGAAACAGGAUGAGCUCACCUAUAAUCGGCAAUUUUUUGCCGAGUUGUGGUCUGUAGAAGCAUUGUCGGUCGAGGUUCCGGGCUAAGUCUCUUGGAAAAGAGCAGCUGAGAGGGUGACACUCCCGUUCUUGCCUGGGAUCUGCGAUCAUAGCACAUGCCUUCAACGAGUCGAGUUGCUUGGGAUUGCAGCUCAAAUGCGUGGUAUACUCCAUGUAAAGCUAAAUAUAGGUAGGAAACCGAUAGCGCACAAGUACUGUGAAGGAAAGAUGCAAAGAACUUUGAAAAGAGAGUUAAAGAGUACCUGAAAUUGCUGAAAGGGAAGCGAAGGAAACCAGUGCUUGGCUUGGUCAUAUUUCUCGAAUCGCUUGCGGUUUGGGCGCUGUGUCGUUGCCUUUGUCAUUUUUGCUUGUUCUCGGCGGAAACGUGUGUUCGGGAGGUAGCGCUUGCGUGAUACCGUUCACAUUAUUGCUGGGUUUGAGUGAGGCUGACGAAAUGGUUUUCUUUACCCCGUCUAGUAACACGGACCAAGGAGUCUA